GGAGUCUGGGCCGUGUCUCAGUCCCAAUGUGGCCGUUCAUCCUCUCAGACCGGCUAUGUAUCAUCGCCUUGGUGGGCCGUUACCUCACCAACAAGCUAAUACAGCGUAAGCCCAUCCCACAGCGGUGCAAACGCACCUUUAAUAAUUAGAAGAUGCCUUCCAAUUACCUAUGCGGUAUUAAUAGUCGUUUCCAACUGCUAUCCCCCACUUUGGGGCAGGUUGCCUACGUAUUACUCACCCGUUCGCCACUAACUCGAUCAAAAAGCAAGCUUUCUGAUUUUGUCCGUUCGACUUGCAUGUAUUAAGCACGCCGCCAGCGUUCAUC
This 325-nucleotide ribosomal RNA is filed under the name uncultured Erysipelotrichaceae bacterium. RNAcentral's name for it is "partial 16S ribosomal RNA". Lineage: Bacteria; Bacillati; Bacillota; Erysipelotrichia; Erysipelotrichales; Erysipelotrichaceae. The record is from RNAcentral.